This 474-nucleotide long non-coding RNA is filed under the name Selaginella moellendorffii. RNAcentral describes it as "long non-coding RNA (SMOE_LNC000192)". The record is from RNAcentral. Lineage: Eukaryota; Viridiplantae; Streptophyta; Lycopodiopsida; Selaginellales; Selaginellaceae.
GACACAGUCGUGUGGUGAGGAAGUCCCAGAGGACCGUGGGACUUAGUGGUCGGGCCUGUGGGUCUCGGUCCAGUGGCAGUGUUGGCAAACACGGCCAGGGGCAGAAAGGGACUUAGUGGGGACUGACAGAGGGAUAUUGGGGAAGGCUAUCCCCCUUGUCGGUGGGCAUCCUAAGGAUGCUAAGGAGUGGAUCUGAGAUGACCACUCACGGAUGGUAUGCCUAGUCUUGGGGAGCCAAGACUGUGAUGCAAGUGGUAUUGGACUACCAGUGUGGCAAAGGUGAUUGGGCAUGGCCUUAGCGUAACGGGCUGCUAUGUCGGUGGUACCUUUGAGUGUCGGUCAUGGGAUCGGACACGUGGAGCACUUGGACCAAGUGCAAAUGUUGAGUGGCAUGGAUGCCAUUCUCGGGGCUAGCAAGUCCCAAGUCCUGGAUUGGACUUAUGGAGGUUGUGAAUGAGACUCCUCCAAGUGGUC